This is a long non-coding RNA of Pecten maximus, 748 nucleotides long. RefSeq lists it as uncharacterized. NCBI's taxonomy places the organism in Eukaryota, Metazoa, Mollusca, Bivalvia, Pectinida, Pectinidae. The transcript is spliced from 3 exons. The record is from RefSeq and is a predicted model, not a curated record.
GGAGAUUUGUAUUACAAGUGGCGGCCAUUUUGUUUGUUUACGGAAACGUGAUGAAAGCUUAGACCUAGAACAAAAUCACGUUAUAUAUACAGUACGGUAUAUAUUUGCGACAUUUAAUUUCCCCACUCACGGAAUACAAUCGACAAACUGGGAACAGAAUAUCAAAUUUCGUCUAGCUUUUGGCGACUUAUGAUACCCCUUUCACCGGCAAACACUGAAUUAUCGGACAACAUGAAAUCAGGGACUAAAUUCACCAGCAUUCAUGAUCCUCGGACCACCCGCCCCCUACGUACAGCCGAUUUAUAAAUGUUGCAUCUUUCAAUCAGUGUCAAUCCCAAGAAGAACCCUGAUCAGCUCCUGGAAAAAUCAGUGUUCUUGCAGUAUUGUCAGUCAAAUCUCGAGGAAAGGAUCCCAGAAGAGGAACAUUUACAUUAUUUCAGACUUUUUUCUUUCCUGUGUAACAAUGCCUCAAACAGCUAACACAUUUUAUAUAGUAUACAAUACAAUGUGUAUUAAUAACAGUCCAGUUAGAGUGCUGUGUUAUGCAGUAAAAAUACUUAAUUCUUGAUGACAUGUUGGUUUUAUGUUUACAUUAAACGGUAGUUAUAAUAUAUAUAUACUAAAGAAACAUAGUGGAUAAUGCCUUGUACAGGAGCAGGAGUAUGACAGUGUAAUAGUACAUGACUGCUGCGUUCAUCCAUGGAAGGAGUCUGUUAUUCGAAAUAAAGCUUUCCAUGAGGACGAAAAA